AUGAACGCUGGCGGCGUGCCUAAUACCUGCAAGUCGAGCGAACAGACGAGGAGCUUACUCCUCUGACGUUAGCGGCGGACGGGUGAGUAACACGUGGAUAACCUACCUAUAAGACUGGGAUAACUUCGGGAAACCGGAGCUAAUACCGGAUAAUAUAUUGAACCGCAUGGUUCAAUAGUGAAAGACGGUUUUGCUGUCACUUAUAGAUGGAUCCGCGCCGCAUUAGCUAGUUGGUAAGGUAACGGCUUACCAAGGCGACGAUGCGUAGCCGACCUGAGAGGGUGAUCGGCCACACUGGAACUGAGACACGGUCCAGACUCCUACGGGAGGCAGCAGUAGGGAAUCUUCCGCAAUGGGCGAAAGCCUGACGGAGCAACGCCGCGUGAGUGAUGAAGGUCUUCGGAUCGUAAAACUCUGUUAUUAGGGAAGAACAAAUGUGUAAGUAACUAUGCACGUCUUGACGGUACCUAAUCAGAAAGCCACGGCUAACUACGUG
Molecule: ribosomal RNA, 496 nt
Filed under: uncultured bacterium
Lineage: Bacteria
Description: partial 16S ribosomal RNA
Rfam family: Bacterial small subunit ribosomal RNA
Source: RNAcentral